GGGGAGGGGGGGGGGGGCGUUGCAGUGUUCAGUAUAUAAGGCGUUGGCGACGACGGUCAAGCAUCACUCGACGACACCCAAUCACCAAGGCGACAUGUACAAGGCAGUGUUUGCAGUACUGAGUGUGCUCCUGCUGGUGGCCGCCGCCCUGGCCAGCCCCAUGCCGGAGCCCGGACACCGCGGUGGCGGCUACGGCGGCUAUGGUGGCGGACAUGGAGGUGGUUAUGGCGGCUACGGUGGGCAUGGCGGUGGCGGCCAUGGAGGUGGUUAUGGUGGCUACGGCGGCUACCAUGGCUAGGGACGCUGAAGGAGGAGCCUACAGUCCCUUCAAGAAGAGUUACCCAAAGAGUUGGCAAAGCUCGUCCUCGUCCUGUCCCGUUGUUGUUGUGUGUCACGAGGACGAGCAAUGUUUCGGCCGAGAACACCUCCAAUAAAGGUUUUCUUUCUUA
Eriocheir sinensis (Chinese mitten crab) is the source of this 449-nucleotide long non-coding RNA. RefSeq lists it as uncharacterized. The record is from RefSeq and is a predicted model, not a curated record. Lineage: Eukaryota; Metazoa; Arthropoda; Malacostraca; Decapoda; Varunidae. The transcript has 2 exons.